RNAcentral lists this non-coding RNA (557 nucleotides) under Pongo abelii (Sumatran orangutan). Lineage: Eukaryota; Metazoa; Chordata; Mammalia; Primates; Hominidae. The record is from RNAcentral.
UGGGUUCAGGCCCAGAAUGCCAGCUUUGCCCUAUCCCAUAGCCUGGGGCCACCACAGGAGAGGCACGCCACUCUCUUGGGCUCCUGGAGCCUCAGGGGCAGAGCCAGCCGGGAGUGCAGGAGGGAGAACUUUCCUAUGGAUGUCCUGUGUUCUCCAGACGCAGAGAACCUUCAUCAACCGAGGGAGAAGUCACUUCCGAAUCCACAGAUGGUGUGUGACUGCAUGGCAAGCGCCUCCCGGACACACUUACUGUUCCCUCGCUCUGGCCAGAUGCCAGCCGGACCCUGUGUGUGCACGCCGUGCUGCUCUUUGCAGCUGCCUGCAAGGGGUUGCUGCGAAGACCAGCGCCUUGGUGAAGAGCCUGCGGCUGAACUUGAACUCAGGGCUACCUGAGUCAGGCCUGUGCUUUUUCAUCUCUGCGGAUGAUGUCAGAGCGUUUCCCUAGCAAUGUUUUAGAAGUUACUUCUGUCUGGAAAAAAAUGGAAAAAAUGGCAAAUUAUGUUACACAUAAUUUGAUAAUUUUAAAGAAUUAACGAUGUAAUUAUUACUCAAACCCA